RNAcentral lists this unclassified non-coding RNA (352 nucleotides) under soil metagenome. Its description in RNAcentral is "partial contains 5.8S ribosomal RNA, internal transcribed spacer 2, and large subunit ribosomal RNA". The stretch from base 1 to 120 matches the Rfam family "5.8S ribosomal RNA", at positions 35 to 154 of the family's 154-position model. The record is from RNAcentral.
GAUGAAGGACGUAGCGAAAUGCGAUAAGUAAUGUGAAUUGCAGAAUUCAGUGAAUCAUCGAAUCUUUGAACGCACAUUGCGCCCGCCAGUAUUCUGGCGGGCAUGCCUGUUCGAGCGUCAUUACAACCCUCAGGCCCCCGGGCCUGGCGUUGGGGGUCGGCGGAGCCCCCCGUGGGCACACGCCGUCCCCCAAAUACAGUGGCGGUCCCGCCGCAGCUUCCAUCGCGUAGUAGCUAACACCUCGCGACUGGAGAGCGGCGCGGCCACGCCGUAAAACACCCAACUCUUCUGAAGUUGACCUCGAAUCAGGUAGGAAUACCCGCUGAACUUAAGCAUAUCAAUAAGCGGAGGA